This 252-nucleotide ribosomal RNA is filed under the name uncultured bacterium. RNAcentral's name for it is "partial 16S ribosomal RNA". It matches the Rfam family "Bacterial small subunit ribosomal RNA", at positions 524 to 776 of the family's 1533-position model. The record is from RNAcentral.
UACGUAGGGGGCGAGCGUUGUCCGGAUUUAUUGGGCGUAAAGAGCGUGUAGGCGGCUUGGUAGGUCUCGCGUCAAAACCUGCGGCUCAACCGCAGUUCGCGUGGGAAACCACCUAGCUAGAGUCCGGAAGAGGAGAGUGGAAUUCCUGGUGUAGCGGUGAAAUGCGCAGAUAUCAGGAAGAACACCCGUGGCUAAGGCGGCUCUCUAGUACGGUACUGACGCUGAGACGCGAAAGCGUGGGGAGCGAACAGG